Molecule: long non-coding RNA, 898 nt
Organism: Mugil cephalus (flathead mullet)
Lineage: Eukaryota; Metazoa; Chordata; Actinopteri; Mugiliformes; Mugilidae
Exons: 3
Source: RefSeq, a predicted model, not a curated record
UCAGUGAAGGCUUCAUGUGUUUCCCCCAUGGGUUCAUCUAGUGGAUUGAUAGUAGAAGCUACAACCAGCAGAGAUGGUUCCAGUGGAUGUUCUCAUGAAUGACGUGUGUUUUCUCUGCAGGUGAAGGACAAAGUGUGAGCUGAUGUGAAUCCAGCAGCAAUGGACCAGAGCGAAGCUCAGAGCCUCCAGCCCCUCAGACCUGACUCUGAGGACCAGAAUGAAUAUCCACUGGUGGACAAUGAAGCUGUUGUUACAGCAGAGAAGUUGGUUGCCGGCAUGAGGACUGAGUUUGUGGAAAGGGUUGUCGAUAGAAGUCCUUACACAGCUCCUGGAGGCUCUCGUAACAGACAGUGUCUUGACUGAUUUGGAGAAAGAAUCGAUAUCUGAGAAGAACUCAGUCAGAGCAGACAGGGUACGCCACUUCAUUGACACUGUGAAGAGAAAGGGAGAGGAAGCCUGCAGGAAGUUGAUCCGGCAUCUUCAGUCCAUAGAUCCUGCUCUUUCCCAUCACCUGGGUUUGCCCUUUGUUCAAACUGCUCAGAAAGGUGAGGCCUUUUUUUUUUUUAUUGUUUUUUUUUUGAUAUUUAAAUAAAUCCCAUUUGGUUGAACCUGUAACUGAGAAGAAGAUCUGACCAGAUGUGAGGACACGUUCAUGAGUAAAUGUAGAUCAUUCCAAGGUUCCAGUUAGUGUUUUUUGAUACUGUGCACAGUAAACUGCUCUACAACACAUCAGAUGGUCUGAUUAUCUAUUGUUGUGUCGUUCAGAUGCUCAUGAUGAGUGUCGACGUAAACUUAAAUCUGCUCUGAAGGAGAAGUUCCAGUCUGUGUUUGAGGGGAUUGCUAAAGCUGGAAAAUCAACUAACCUGAAUGAGAUCUACACAGAGCUCUACAUCACAGA